This 205-nucleotide ribosomal RNA is filed under the name uncultured bacterium. Its description in RNAcentral is "partial 16S ribosomal RNA". It matches the Rfam family "Bacterial small subunit ribosomal RNA", at positions 335 to 528 of the family's 1533-position model. The record is from RNAcentral.
ACUCCUACGGGAGGCAGCAGUGGGGAAUAUUGCACAAUGGGCGCAAGCCUGAUGCAGCCAUGCCGCGUGUGUGAAGAAGGCCUUCGGGUUGUAAAGCACUUUCAGUUGUGAGGAAGGUGGGUGUCGUUAAAUAGCGGCAUCAUUUGACGUUAGCAACAGAAGAAGACAACCGGCUAACGUCCUGCCAGCAGCCGCGGUAAUACGG